UGUCAAGAUAAUUACGAAUUUCAUUGGCUCAUUUUCGGCCCAAAUAUUCUAUAAGAUAUCUUUUUGCGGAUUCUAGAAGGUAUGUUUCUUGUUAAAAAUUGGAUCAACAAUUCUCCCCGGUAAGAGUAAAACAUGCACUCAUUUGUUAUUUGACCUUACACAAAACGUGUCAGUAUUAUCAAACCAAACUAAAAUGUUACAUAUAAAAGAAGGUUACACAGCCCUUAUACGAACAUUAAUUUCACAAUAAUUACGAAAUGAGGUUGGUGUAUUUAAUGUUCGUGGUAUUUACAGCAUUAUUUUACACGCUGAGUGUGUCAUCUCACUGCCUUAGGAAACACCGGCAUGGUUUAAAAUCUUGCGAGUUAGACGACGUAUACUGUGGUUCUUGGAGAAGAAAACGUGGAUGGAAGGAUUGGUUUAGGCCUAAGCGACAUAAUACAUGUAGGCAUCGUGGGUUUUGGAAAAAGGAACCAUACAGAUUUUGGGGUAAAAGAAUUCAUGGGCAUGGAGCAUGUGAUUGCAGAGGGCAUAAGCGCUGUUUUUGUUGAUAAGUGAAAGACUGAAAUGUUAUUUGCUGUGUAUUUGAGGAUUAAAAGUUCUGUCUAAACGUUA
Long non-coding RNA from Photinus pyralis (common eastern firefly), 615 nucleotides. RefSeq lists it as uncharacterized. The transcript has 2 exons. The record is from RefSeq and is a predicted model, not a curated record. Lineage: Eukaryota; Metazoa; Arthropoda; Insecta; Coleoptera; Lampyridae.